Molecule: long non-coding RNA, 3588 nt
Organism: Meriones unguiculatus (Mongolian gerbil)
Lineage: Eukaryota; Metazoa; Chordata; Mammalia; Rodentia; Muridae
Exons: 3
Source: RefSeq, a predicted model, not a curated record
CGCGGCCUCCUGCCUUCCACGAACAAUCACCACAGCUCUCCACGCUCUGCUUUCUGGGUCGGGAGCCCAUUUCCAGGGAAAGCAGGCAAGAAACACACCGAUCAGAUCGUUGGAAAAAAAAUAGAAAAUUUGAAUCCCCGGAGGCUGCUGGACCUCGGGUCCUCUGAAGGACAAACAUCUACUGUGUUUUAUUAAAUGUUUUCCAUGUUAGUAAGCACUGGGAAGUGCCAGAACCAGCCGCGGCUUUCUGCUAAGCCCGGAGAGGCAGGCACUUGGGGCCUCUGAAUAGUUCUGUCUCUCCACUGCUCAGCGUGCUGGAAAUGGCUUGGCCCCGAGGCUGCAGAGUCCUAGGAGACCCCGCACCAUUCUACCGAGCAGGGCCCUGCUUCUGGAAGAAGCAGACUACUCCUUUCUUGACAGGGGUUUACAAGUUUCUCAGCCCCAAUGUUGCCUGGAAGGCAUUUGCCCACGGACCAUAGGACGAAAAUAUCGAGAAGGUGGCGGGGCUGCUGACCUCUCCAGUCAGGCUUGCCUCACCGCUCUUGCCUCACCACUGGACCGCCCUGCUCUCUCCUGCAGAAUGGAGCCUGCUAGCACCUGGCUGCUUUGGCUUUCACCUGUCUAGACUCUGGUGGAACUUGCUGACUACCCACACCCAGCUUGGCAACACAUGUGGAUGCAGGUGCUCACUGAGGCCAGAAGAGGACAUCAGAUACAAUUAUGGAUGAUUGUAAACCUCCUGAUGUAGAAGCUUUCCACCAAGCUCCAGUUCCCUGAAAGACAAGCAAAUGCUCUUACUGCUGAACCAUCUCUCCAAUGUUUUAUCCAAAUGCAAAUUUAUGCUGGAUGUGGGGCAUUCUACAGGAUAACUCAGCCAUGACCCAAACAAUCUAUCUCUACAUGUUUCCUUGGUGAUAUUUAAAUGCUGUGCUCAAGGUUCUGGUCGGUAUGCUUAGUGAUUAUAAAAUAAUUGAAUUCUAAGUUAAUCAACCAUUCAACCAACCAAGCAACCAGUAAGCAUCUAUUAAGCAGCGCUGAUACCAUCUGUUAGAUUCUGUUGGAAGUACACACUAAAACCAGGAUGUCAUUCCACCAUCACGGGAUGUCAUGUUUUGGGGGGAAGACCCAAAUAAGACAUAACAGAGAAACUUCCAAACCACCUAAGAUCCUGGGUCUGCUUUGACUUCUGAAAAUGAAAAGAAUUAAAAGUCACAUGGAUGGGAGAAAGCUAUGGGUAAGGAAAGCGAACAAAAUAACUUACUCAAUUUCUAUCUGCCAGUAUGAUUGUUUGGUUUUUAAAAAGGCAGGAGAGGGGAUCGGAGGAGGCCUAGUCAGUAGCACAAGCACAAGGACCCGAGUUUGAGCCCCAACACCUACAUGAAAGCCAGACAUGAUGGCACAUCCUUGAGAUAUGAGUACUGGGGAGGCAGGGACAGGUAGAUUCCUGGGGCUCAUUGGUCAGGUAGCUUAGCCUCACCAGCAAGCUCUAGGUCCCAGCAAGAUAUCCUGUCUCAAAAAGCAAGAUCAAUGGCUCCUGCGAGUCUACCUGGCUUUCUCUCCUGGCUUGCUCAGCCUUCUUUCUUACAGCACCCAGGACCACCGGCGUGGCCUGGCACCACACAACGAGCUCUGUGCAUAUGCAGGCACACACUCCACAAUGUGCAGGACAUCAGAGCAGGUCCACAGGGAUGCGAGCCGGGAUGGAAAUCAGGUAGAGUAAGGGCUUUGACAGUUGGCACAGGGGAAGCGCUGAUUAAGUAAACGAAAGUCUAGUGCAGUGGGGUGACCAGCAGUGAUGAGAUCCAGGCAAAAGCCAUGACUGAAAUGCUUGAAGGAGCUGACCCAAAAAUGUGUCGCAGGCCUGUGACGUGCCUCAGUAGGUAAAGGUACAUGCUGCAGAUUCCGAAGACCUGAGUUCCAUGCCUAGGACCCAUAGGGUGGAAGGGAAGAACUGAGUCUCAAGUUGUCCUCUGAAGGGUCCUCAUUUCUGCAGCUCUUCUCAGUGUGUCCUUGUUCAGUGUUGUAGGGUUAUAAGAGCUGUGGCCUCCAUAGCCUCAGUGGUGGUUUUUUCAUACAAUACUAGGACCUUCAGAUCUUCCUCUUCAUGGGUGGGUAACUUGGGGUUUGGUCUGGACUUGACUUUGUAGUCUAAGAACAGACAGUUAUCAUUGAUAGCGGUGUCUUAGAUUUCUAUUGCUGUGACAAACACCACCACCAAAAACAACUUGGGGAGGAAAGGGUUUAUUUCAGCUUACACUUCCACAUCACAGUCCAUCAUGAAAGGAAGUGAGAGCAGGAACUCAAGGCAGGAACCUGGAGGCAGAAACCGAAGCAAAGGUAAUAGAAGAACACUGCGUACUGACUUUCUCUCUCCUGGCUUGCUCAGCCUGUUUUCUUAUAGCACCCAGGACCACCUGCCUAUGGGUGGCACCAUCGCAAUGAGAUGGACCUUCUCACAUCAAUCAGUAAUGAGGAAGACGUACUACAGGACUGGAGAGAUGGCUCAGUGGUUAAGAACACUGGCUGCUGUUCUCGAGGUUCUGAGUUCAAUCCCCAGCACCCACAUGGUGGCUCACAACCAUCUGUAAUGGGAUCUGAAGCCCUCUUCUAGUGUGCAGGCGUACAUGCAGACAAGGCACUCAUACAUAAAAUACAUAGAUAACAAAUUAUUAAAGAAAGAAAAUGCACUAUAAAUGCCCCCAGACCUCAUGGGCGCUCUCUCAAUCUGUAGUCCCUUGUCACAAAUGACUCUAGCAUGUGACAAGUUGACAUAAAACUAGUGAGGACAGCUGGCAACUAUGCUAUGUUAUUGUGUGGGCACACAUGUGAACAUGCAUGUGUGUUUUCAGGUGCAUGUAGGUACAUGUAUGUGGAGACCAGAGGACAACCUUGAGUCCUUGAUCAGGAGCUGUCUCACUUUGUUUUACUUUAUUUUGAUGGAGGCUCUCUCUCGCCUGGCGCUCACUGGUAGGCUGGUGGGCCAGUGUGUCCUGGGGACCCAACUGUCUCUGUUUUCACAGGUCUGCAUUCUAGUGUGUGUGCAUCCACACACAUGCACACAAAAUGCAGGGCAAUGGGGCAGGGUGUCCUGAGCUGUGGGCUGGGAAGGGAAUCGGUAGAGCAAGAACGUAGGCAGUUGCCACAGGGGGCGUGAUGGAAAAGCAGACAGAGCCAGCUUUGCUUCACCUGCGUUCUUAUGCUUUCACAGCACACACUUUAUCAACGGAGCCAUUCCCCAAGCCCCAGGGCCAACUUUCAUCAGAACUGCAGUUAUUUGGAAUAAUUCAUUCCAUACUUCCACUGGAACAUCUUUACAGUGAUGUUUUUUAUGUGUAUGAGUAUUUUGCCUGUAUGGAAGUGUAUACACAUGCACGCCCAGUGCCCAUCAUUGAUAGCCAACAGUGGGCACUGGGAUCCAAAUUCUGGUCCUCUUGUGAAAACAGCAAUUGCUUUUAUCCACGGAGAUAACUCUCCAGUCCCUAAAGGCAAACACUAUCUUUUUUUUUCCUCUGUGUAGCCCUGGCUGUCCUCACUCUGUAGACCAGGUUGGCCCCUGGCUGUCCUCACUCUGUAGACCAGGUUGGCCCC